AACACAUGCAAGUCGAACGGUGAAAGAGGAGCUUGCUCCUCUGGAUCAGUGGCGAACGGGUGAGUAACACGUGAGUAACCUGCCCUUGACUCUGGGAUAAGCGUUGGAAACGACGUCUAAUACCGGAUAUGAACCGCGAAGGCAUCUUCUGCGGUUGGAAAGAAUUUUGGUCAAGGAUGGACUCGCGGCCUAUCAGCUAGUUGGUGAGGUAACGGCCCACCAAGGCGACGACGGGUAGCCGGCCUGAGAGGGUGACCGGCCACACUGGGACUGAGACACGGCCCAGACUCCUACGGGAGGCAGCAGUGGGGAAUAUUGCACAAUGGGCGAAAGCCUGAUGCAGCAACGCCGCGUGAGGGACGACGGCCUUCGGGUUGUAAACCUCUUUUAGCAGGGAAGAAGCGAAAGUGACGGUACCUGCAGAAAAAGCACCGGCUAACUACGUGCCAGCAGCCGCGGUAAUACGUAGGGUGCAAGCGUUGUCCGGAAUUAUUGGGCGUAAAGAGCUCGUAGGCGGUUUGUCGCGUCUGCUGUGAAAACGCGAGGCUCAACCUCGCGCCUGCAGUGGGUACGGGCAGACUAGAGUGCGGUAGGGGAGAUUGGAAUUCCUGGUGUAGCGGUGGAAUGCGCAGAUAUCAGGAGGAACACCGAUGGCGAAGGCAGAUCUCUGGGCCGUAACUGACGCUGAGGAGCGAAAGCGUGGGGAGCGAACAGGAUUAGAUACCCUGGUAGUCCACGCCGUAAACGUUGGGAACUAGAUGUGGGGACCAUUCCACGGUCUCCGUGUCGCAGCUAACGC
Molecule: ribosomal RNA, 799 nt
Filed under: Labedella gwakjiensis
Lineage: Bacteria; Bacillati; Actinomycetota; Actinomycetes; Micrococcales; Microbacteriaceae
Description: bacterial SSU rRNA
Rfam family: Bacterial small subunit ribosomal RNA
Source: RNAcentral